UAGAAUUUUCCAACAUCUGAAUUAACACAUUUAAGUUUCUUAUAAGACUAAAGGAAAAGAGAGGGGGAAAAUAGGAUAAAUUGGUAAGACUUAUAAUGUUAUCAGUUUAGUAGCACAAAAACAAGGAUGGAUUUUCUAUUAUAUUCCAUUAUGAAUGGCAAUGGCAUAUGAAUAUUUUAGUCUAGGAUCAACAAUAGGCACAAGCUGCACAGAUCUCAUAAUUGACAUUGCAUGAUGCUUCAGUAGGGUCUUAUCCCUAGAACACCUUUCCUCUUAAGAUGGCAAUCACUAGAUCAAGUUGUUCAUGAAAAUAAACCUCUAGUUAUGAUCGAUACAAUCGAGCUCCAUAAUUUAGGUGCCUUCCAAAGCUUGAAUGCCACCUCAUGGAGAAACUGAUCUGCAAGUAUAGCAAGACUUCUCCCUCCCUGCAUGAUAAGAUGAAAGCAGAUGUCACUUAGUAGAUCAACCAGAAGUUAAUGAUCCAACAACUACUAAUAAUUAAUUUCUAGCUAUAAUUCAUGGCAAAACUAAUCCUAUUAUUUUUUUUAUGCUUAGGAACUGAAAUAUACCCACAGAUAUUUGAAAUGAUUAUACAAACUACAUUGUUCAAGGGAAUAAAGUACUUUUUUAUCGUGUAAAAGACUGUAAAUUAGAAAACAAAAUUGGUUAUGCAUAAACCACAUUGCUUAUACCUCCAUAUUCAGCUUGACAUACAUAGCAGACAUGCAUUAAUGUGCAACAUGACCACUGCUUUUAAUAGUUGAUUCUGGAGGAAAAGAUGAUAAGUAAUAUGUUACUUGUUUUGUGGCUUCAAUAGCUCUAAUAACCAUGGACAAAAGUAUGCAUGGGUGUGAGCUACAUAUAUGACAAAAGUAUCACAGAAACAUCAUCAGGGGUUUCAGACUUCAGAGGACUAGUUAGGAGAUAGUAGUUCUGACACAAUAUGACAAGAGUUCCAUUUACCAUGAAAACUAAUUACAUCAACAAAAUAAUAAAUAAUGUUAUGUAAGUAUUAAUAAACAAGAGCUACAGAAGCAUGGGUCUAUUAUCUGUCAUGUGUCUACAAUAGCAUGGAUCAUCACGAGUUAGGAUAUUAGAAACAAGCAUCUCACAAUAUUGAACUCUAUCUUUCUAGAUGAUAGGGAAGGAAAAAGUGGUAUGUAUGUGUUAAUUAACAUAGGCAUUCGGCUCAAAUAAGCUACUGCAAGCAUAGAACCAAAUCUAAGCAUGAUUACCUUCCUAAAUUCUUCAAAACCAGAAUGGCAUAAUCCCGACGCAUUACACUCUCCUGCAACUUAGCAAUCAACCGAUGAUGCCUGCAAUUCAUUGAGAGGUUGCCAAUAGCAUCCUGACCAUAAGUAUCACAUCCUAGAUUUAUAAAAU
This 1383-nucleotide long non-coding RNA is filed under the name Musa acuminata (dwarf banana). RNAcentral's name for it is "long non-coding RNA (MACU_LNC010015)". The record is from RNAcentral. Lineage: Eukaryota; Viridiplantae; Streptophyta; Magnoliopsida; Zingiberales; Musaceae.